Molecule: long non-coding RNA, 124 nt
Organism: Drosophila willistoni
Lineage: Eukaryota; Metazoa; Arthropoda; Insecta; Diptera; Drosophilidae
Rfam family: Bithoraxoid conserved region 4
About the family: Bithoraxoid (bxd) is a long non-coding RNA found in Drosophila.
Source: Rfam
GAGCUGCGAUGUGAGAAAAUUUUCCUGCACAAGCCAAAAUAUAAAGGUAAAUGGCAAAAUGGUAAAUGGUAAACGGGUGAAAUGCUUAAGAAAAUCAACUCAACGAGCAGGCAAAGCCACAAAA